GUCCUUUUGAAUUAAAUUUAAGGUCUAACCUGCCCACUGAAAUUUUAAAUGGCCGCAGUAAUUUGACUGUGCAAAGGUAGCAUAAUCAUUAGUUUUUUAAUUAAAAGCUUGUAUGAAGGGUUGGACGAGGUAAAAUCUGUCUCUAUUUAAUUUAAAUUAGAAUUUAAUUUUUAAGUUAAAAAGCUUAAAUUUAAUUAAAAGACGAGAAGACCCUAUAGAUCUUUAUAUUAUUUAUAAUAAUUUUAAUUAAGAAUUUUUUAUUUUUUAUUAUAAAUACUUAUUUUAUUGGGGUAAUAAAAAGAUUUAAUAAAUUCUUUUAUAUAUAAACAUUGAUUUAUGAUUAUAUGACCAAUUUUUUUGAUUAAAAGAUUAAGUUACCUUAGGGAUAACAGCGUAAUUUUUUUAAAGAGUUCAUAUCGAUAAAAAAGUUUGCGA
This 435-nucleotide ribosomal RNA is filed under the name Acilius canaliculatus. RNAcentral describes it as "partial 16S ribosomal RNA". The record is from RNAcentral. Lineage: Eukaryota; Metazoa; Arthropoda; Insecta; Coleoptera; Dytiscidae.